UGAGGAAUAUUGGUCAAUGGGCGGAAGCCUGAACCAGCCAAGUCGCGUGAGGGAUGACGGUCCUAUGGAUUGUAAACCUCUUUUGCCGGGGAGCAAAGCCGACCUUGCGAGGUUGGAAGGAGAGUACCCGGAGAAAAAGCAUCGGCUAACUCCGUGCCAGCAGCCGCGGUAAUACGGAGGAUGCGAGCGUUAUCCGGAUUUAUUGGGUUUAAAGGGUGCGUAGGCGGGGAGGUAAGUCAGUGGUAAAAUUUCGGUGCUUAACGCCGGACCGCCGUUGAAACUGCCCCUCUUGAGUGGGCGAGAAGUAUGCGGAAUGCGUAGGUGUGAGCGGUGGAAUGACAUAGAUAUCACGCAGAACUCCGAUUGCGAAGGCAGCAUACCGGCGCCCAACUGACGCUGAGGCACGAAAGCGUGGGUAUCGAACAGGAUUAGAUACC
Molecule: ribosomal RNA, 437 nt
Filed under: uncultured bacterium
Lineage: Bacteria
Description: bacterial SSU rRNA
Rfam family: Bacterial small subunit ribosomal RNA
Source: RNAcentral